GCAUUACUGAGGAAUCCUACAAUAGGACGAAAUGGCCAUCCAGUGC
This is a non-coding RNA of Schistosoma margrebowiei, 46 nucleotides long. The record is from Rfam. NCBI's taxonomy places the organism in Eukaryota, Metazoa, Platyhelminthes, Trematoda, Strigeidida, Schistosomatidae.